RNAcentral lists this ribosomal RNA (284 nucleotides) under Hyalomma excavatum. Its description in RNAcentral is "partial small subunit ribosomal RNA". The record is from RNAcentral. Lineage: Eukaryota; Metazoa; Arthropoda; Arachnida; Ixodida; Ixodidae.
AAUAUUAAUUACGAAAGCAAAAAAUUAUGGCGGUAUUUAAAGCUUUUCAGAGGAAUUUGCUCUUUAAUGGAUAAAACACCUAGAUCUUACUUAAAUUAGCGCUUUUCAGUUUGUAUACCACUAUUAUAAUAAUAAUUUAUUAUUAUUAUUAAUAUUCUUGCAUUUAGAAAAAAAUUAAGUCAAGGUGCAGCAUAAAUUUAUGAAUGAAGUGAAUUACAUUUCUUUUAAGAAAAAAAAAUUGAAAUAAAACGUUUAGGAUUUGAUAGUAAAAUUAAAAUACAAAG